UUCUCCCGUGGUGUAUUAUGACCAUUUUUAUUUGCGGCCGUUUUAACUCUCUUGCAUAAUAACACACACAAGAACAAGUGAAUGUCAUCAUGCCUUGGCGAAAAUUUCUAGGAAUAUUUCUUACAGAUCCAAGAGUAAUUCAAAAGAUUGCAGAUAGCUGGCCUGUCAGGAAAGCAGCUAGAAAUGCAGUGUACUUGUUUUUAAGAGGUAAGGAUCAAUUCAAAGAUGCAAUAGACAAGAAACAGCUGCCGACAAACACAGAAUUAAGGACUUCUCUAUUAAGAAUCAAAGACACCGUUUCGAAAGAAGUCAAGCAAGGCUUUAAAGAACUUUCCAAAGGCAAGAAAGAUCCCAAAACACGCAGAUGACAAACAUCAGAUUGUGUUGCGUCUGUGAUACAAGUUGAGCAGAAUACCAAUGACCUGGGAUUCUGUGCUUAGAAUGUGCCUGAAAAUGCUAAUUGCUAACUUUUGUAAAUAAUGUUUAUAUAAAUCAUAUUCUAAUUGUCUUGCCUAAUUUAAGAUGCCAGGAUAUAUAGGAAUGGUUAUGUUGCUGUGUCUCUCUAUCAGUUGAUUGUUAGACGAAUUUUACUUCGAUGAAUUUUAUUUAGACUCUACUAGUCCAUCAAUAUUCGUCAGAUCUUCACGAAAUGUCACCAUCUUUGUGAGCAUAAAAUCUAAACCAGAUUGGACUUUCAAUCAAAAUGGGUCACAAUUGUAUUUUUUUUCCUUUUUCCGUUCGAUAUAUUUUAUUAUCCUCGUACAUAGGUGUGAGGUUCGAGGCAUCCCACUCCACACUGUACAUGAUUUUCAAGCAAUGUGUACAUACUUAAACAACUUUUAAACAUUUGAUUAUCAGUAACUUCUACAUAAUAAUACAAACAAUAUUGGUUUAGCAAAUAAUUGACAAUACAUGAAAUCUAAAUUCCUUAUCACGGCUACUGCAAAAGAGCUAACAAUAGUUCCAUAUCUUUACUUUGAUGCAAAUCGUUUACAUUGUUAAUUUCAUUUAAUACACGGUAAUGCAAGGACAGGUAUGAUUUAGCUGCUUUAAUAGAGGGUAUAGUUUUGUUCAUUUUACAAUUGUAAAUAAACAUUUUGAUCAAAACAAAUAUACAGUUUAAGGGUCCAUUGCAUUUGCAUGUCCCAAUAGAAAGAAAGGUAUUUUCAGGCAAUUUGAAUCAAGAUUGCAUCUAGAAAACAAAUCUGUUAUCAACUUAUUUACAUGCUUACAUUCCCCAAAAAUAUGUUCUAUCCUUUCACAUUCAGUUUGACAAAAGGUGCUGUUUGCUGUAGGUGCAUAUCAAAUUUUGAAUAAGAAGGAGUUCGUACCUAUGAUUCAGUGUUAUAUUAUUUAUAUUGAAACCAUUGUAAAUUGGCAUCUGGUGUAAUAUGAAAAGGCAUAGAAAAGAUAUGUAACCAAUCUUUUGUUUCAAUACAAUUACAAAUAGUUGACCAUUUAUUUAAACAUGCUGGUGAUGACUCAUUUUUGGUAAAAAUAUCAUACAUUGGUUUUGUACCCUUUGUUUUAACUAAGAUAGACCGUAGACUUGUCGAGAUAAACGGCUUCAUAAAGCAGUUGUCAGUAGAACCUCUCAGUUUCUUGUAUCUUGUAACUGAAUUAAUAAUGCCUUGGAAAAGCAAAUAAUUUGGUUUGAAGUUGUAAACUUGGCAAAAGUCAUUACAAUUGUAAAAAGUUAAGAGUUCACAAGAGGGUCACAAAUAAUUCAUAUUUCGCCUUUGAAUCAUCUUGAAUAUCUAAGCGGGUAUGGUCUGUUGAAUUAUUUUCAACAAAAAUCACUGAAAAUGUUCAUUUAGUAGCCCAGUUAGUUAAAUUGUUUUGUUUUUUCAUAAAAAUUAUCCAAAAGGUUUGCUUUGAAGGUAUUUAUAUUAUUAUGAGAAUAUUAACAAUUUGAUUUGUCUUGAAUUAGCAGUAAAUCAAUGGCCGCUAUGCAUGUGUACAUGUAUCUAUUUUUAUGGAAACUUCACUAGUUCUUAAGUUGAUAAUUGGUAUGUUUAUACUUUAUUUUAGGUUUCGUUAAACCAGAACGGAAGCUUUUAUGUUUUACAAACAGCUGCUUGUAAAGUAUUAAAAGGAGUGAAUCGAUGGCAAGAACCACUUUAUAUUUUCAACAUAUAAAUUAUAUUUAUGGACUGACUAUGUGUGCUACAUGUAAACAUACUUGAAAAAUGUCUUUGUUACACUUUUCUCAAAAUAAGUGGUAGCAAAAAUAUCAAUAUGAAUAAAAUGUACAUGAAGUGCUGCUAUGCUCAUGUGUACUUUUGAUAACUGCGUUGUAGUUUUUGAAAGUUUUUAUUUAACAUUUUUUUCUUGAUUAAAAAUCCUUGUUGAACAGUAUAUUGAAUUAAAACUUACAUGUUAAUAAUAUAUUAACGAACACGGAAUAUUUCAUGUUUAUGAAUGUGGAUGUUUAUGCAAAAAACUGUUCCUACGCCAAUGAACAAUAUGUUAAAAACCAAAUAAAACUUGGGGUUUAAUUGAUGACUGAUAUGAAUUUGAAUGUGUAACAAGUAACUUAUAUAAUA
Dreissena polymorpha is the source of this 2546-nucleotide long non-coding RNA. RefSeq lists it as uncharacterized. The transcript has 4 exons. The record is from RefSeq and is a predicted model, not a curated record. NCBI's taxonomy places the organism in Eukaryota, Metazoa, Mollusca, Bivalvia, Myida, Dreissenidae.